Nannospalax galili (Upper Galilee mountains blind mole rat) is the source of this 2974-nucleotide RNA transcript. It is a transcript of the gene named EH domain-binding protein 1-like protein 1 pseudogene, with no coding region annotated. The record is from RefSeq and is a predicted model, not a curated record. Lineage: Eukaryota; Metazoa; Chordata; Mammalia; Rodentia; Spalacidae. The transcript has a single exon.
UCCAAAUGCAGAUCCUCAUGAUCCAGUACCCUAGCAGUCAGCUGGGGGAGAUGUCCUUGGAAGAACACAGCCAAUGUGAAUACAGACCCAAACAAAAGGAAAGUGCUGUAAAGCCAAACAGGGCUGCCAUACCCCACCACCAUCCCCAGCCCUGCUCUGUUCUGGGCUGGGAUUCCGACCGCGGAGCACCCUCCCCAGCUGACAUCAUCCAUCCCAUUCCAGCCCCAGGAUUCUCUGUCCACGCUGCACCCAGCGCCAUCAGCGCCCUGACCCCCGGACCUGCUGCUACUGCUGUAGAUGCCACAGCUUCCUCCGUUGAAGAGGGGAGCCCAGAACACCCCAGCCCAGGAGAUCUCAGCUGGGGCUCCAGAAGGGCCAGGGCCAGAAGCUGAGGUAGAAGAGACUGAACUCUUAGAGGCCGAGGAGAUGCCUGGGGGUUCUAGGAUACUGAGAACAGAGACUGAGACAAUAGAAUUGAAGAUAUUGGGGGUCCAGGAGACAGAAGUGAGGGCUUUGGGGAUCCCAGGAAUAGAAAAUGAAACAGCAGAAGCUGAAAUAUUGAGGAUCCAGAAGGCAGAAAUAGGGGGUUUUGAGGGUCCAGUGAUAGCUGCUGAGAUGGGAAAGUCUGAGAUAUCGGAGGCCCAGGAAACAGAGGUUAGGGAAUCAGGGGCUCUGUGGAUAGACAUGACACAGCCUGAGAUGCUGGGAACCCAGGAGAUAGAAGUUGGUGGCUCAGGGAUCCCAGGGAUAGAACCUGAAAUAGCCAGGGCUCAGGAAACAGAGGUGGGGGAUUCUGGGACUUCCAGGCCAGAAGCUGGAACAGUAGAGGCUGAGGUUCUGAGGGCCCAGUGGACAGAAACUGUAGUUACGGAGUUGGAGGAGGCAAAGACAGAAACUUUGGCAAUCCAGGAGACUGAGACCUGGGGAGCUCUCACAGUCACUGAGCAAAGAGUUUGGGGCUCAGGCAAUAGAGGCAGAAGUAUCCAGGACACCAGAGACAGAGACUAAAGUUCUGAGGCUUUGGAGGACAGAGGCUAGAGUGUUGGGAAAAGCAGAGGCCAAAUCUUUGACUUUGGGGCCCCAGAAAGCAGAGAUAGCAGUUUUUGAGCCCCUGGAAAAUAAGUCUGGUAUUUUUGAGGCCCAGGAAGCAGAAUCUGGGGUCUUGGGAACACAGAAGGAAAAAGAAGCUGAAGAAAGCCUCCCAGAAGCCAGCUUGAUUGAGGCACAGGUGGCCAAUGGGGCAGGGGCUGGGGUACCCAGGCCCUCGGGGGCCUCUUCCCCAGAGGAGCCCAAAGAGGACAGGAGGCUGCCGGGCAGCCAGGCACCACCUGCCCUGGUCAGCUCCAGCCAGUCCCUGCUAGAGUGGUGUCAAGAGGUCACCAGUGGCUACCGUGGUGUCCCUAUCACCAAUUUCACCACAUCCUGGCACAACGGCCUGGCUUUCUGUGCUAUUUUACACCGGUUCUACCCAGACAAGAUCGACUAUUUCUCUCUUGAUCCACUGAACAUCAAACAGAACAACAAACAGGCUUUUGAUGGCUUCGUGGCCCUGGGCGUGUCUUGGCUGCUGGAGCCAGCAGACAUGGUGCUUCUGUCGGUGCCUGACAAGCUCAUCGUCAUGACAUACCUGUACCAGAUCCGCACCUUCUGCACCGGGCAGGAGCUUCAGCUGGUGUAGCUGGAGGGCGGCGGGGCCUCCGGCACUUACCGCGUGGGCAGCGCCCAGCUGAGCCUGCAGGACGACCUGGACGCCGGUGGCCUGGCACAGUGGCUGCGCGGCCACGGGACCGACGCAUCCAAGGAACCCUGAGAGGCCGGGAACAGCGGGGCUGGGGCGAUAUCCAAGGCUGCCUCCAGUGAUGCAGACCCGGGCUGUGCCUCCAAGGAUGGCGAGGCCAAGGCUGUCAGGGAAGAGUUGGCCUCCAGCGGCCCGGAGUGUGCUUGCCCAUGGCCCCCGCAGAGGGGCUGAUGAACUGGGCUGGGGCGUCGGGUGUGGUGGGCGCUGUGAAGCUGAGACGGGCAUCCGUCAACGGAGAGUCCAGGCCUGUGCCACCACCCCAAGCACAUGGCUCCUUCUCCCACGUGUGUGACGCGGAUCUGCUAAAGAAGAGACAUUCACGGCGCGGAACAGCAACUCCUUCUCUGUGGAUGACCCAGACUCUGGAGCUGCGGGAGGCACCGGACCUGUGGGACCUGGGGCUGCCGAAGGCCCUAGCCCCGACUCCAGCCUUGACCCUAGCCCACUCACAGACACAGCCCUGCAGCAGCCCUCUGGUGGGAACCCUCCUUCAGAUGAACCAUCCCCCAAGUCCAGGAGAGGAGGCUGGACUGCAACGACUCCAGGACACAAGUCAGUACGUGUGUGCAGAGUUUCAGGCCCUAGAACAGGAGCAGAGACAGAUAGAUGGCAGAGCAGGUGAGGUGGAAACACAGCUGAGAAGCCUCAUGGAAUCAAGUGCCAACAGGCUACAGGAGGAGAUGCUGAUCCAGGAGUGGUUCACACUGGUCAACAAGAAGAACACCCUCAUCAGGAGACAGGACCAGUUGAAGCUUCUCAUUGAGGAGCAGGACUUGGAGCAGAGGUUUGAACUGCUGAGCCGGGAGCUGCGGGCCAUGUUGGCCAUUGAAGAGUGGCAGAAAACGGUGGCGCAGCAGCACCGGGAGCAGCUCUUGCUGGAAGAGCUGGUGUCUUUGGUGAACCAGAGAGAUGAGCUGGUCCGGAACCUGGACCACAAGGAGGAGAUCACACUGGAGGAAGAUGAGUGCUUGGAACGCAUCCUGGAGCAGCGGCGCCGCAAGGUCAGCCGGCAGCUGAGCCGGCGGGAGCGCUGCACGCUGAACUGAGCUGAGCUGGGCUGAGCUGGGCUAGCCUCCACCCUCCUGGAAGCACUCGCCUUCUGUCUGUGCAGCAGAGGAUCUGGACCUCCAGAAAGCAGAGCACAGCCUGUAGCCUCCAACGUUCCGUCAGCCUGCA